This 48-nucleotide non-coding RNA is filed under the name Schistosoma mansoni. The record is from RNAcentral. Lineage: Eukaryota; Metazoa; Platyhelminthes; Trematoda; Strigeidida; Schistosomatidae.
AUCCAGCUGAUGAGUCCCAAAUAAGGCGAAACGCGGGUCAAACUUGAU